GUGGGGAAUCUUGCGCAAUGGGCGAAAGCCUGACGCAGCGACGCCGCGUGGGGGAAGAAGGCCUUAGGGUUGUAAACCUCUUUCAGGUGGGACGAAGCCACUCGGGUUAAUAGCCCAGAGGGUGACGGUACCGCCAGAAGAAGCCCCGGCUAACUACGUGCCAGCAGCCGCGGUAAUACGUAGGGGGCAAGCGUUGUCCGGAUUUAUUGGGCGUAAAGAGCGUGUAGGCGGCCAGGUAGGUGGGUUGUGAAAACUGGAGGCUCAACCUUCAGACGUCGACCCAAACCCCCUGGCUAGAGUCCGGAAGAGGAGAGUGGAAUUCCUGGUGUAGCGGUGAAAUGCGCAGAUAUCAGGAAGAACACCCGUGGCGAAGGCGGCUCUCUGGGACGGUACUGACGCUGAGACGCGAAAGCGUGGGGAGCGAACAGGAUUAGAUACCCCGGUAGUCC
RNAcentral lists this ribosomal RNA (449 nucleotides) under uncultured bacterium. Its description in RNAcentral is "bacterial SSU rRNA". It matches the Rfam family "Bacterial small subunit ribosomal RNA", at positions 354 to 796 of the family's 1533-position model. The record is from RNAcentral.